AACGGUCUAUACCUGCGGUACCUGCGGAGGGAUCAUUACACAAUAAUAUAUGAAGGCUGCUCGCGGCUGGAGUAUUUAUUACCCUUGUCUUUUGCGCACUUGUUGUUUCCUGGGCGGGCUCGCCCGCCACCAGGACCACAUACAAACCUUUUUUAUGUAGUUGCAAUCAGCGUCAGUAUAACAAAUGUAAAUCAUUUACAACUUUUAGCAACGGAUCUCU
Molecule: unclassified non-coding RNA, 220 nt
Filed under: soil metagenome
Description: partial contains 5.8S ribosomal RNA, internal transcribed spacer 2, and large subunit ribosomal RNA
Source: RNAcentral